UGAAACAUGCGAUUGAGAAAAACCUGAGGGAAAAGAGCAUUAACUAUAAAUCUAGUGUUCCUAACAUUCAAGAGUCAAUCAUUGUGAGAUUAACUAUUCAACUUUGAGAGGUUUAGCUAUUGUACUUGAGUUUUUGCUUGGCUUUUGCUGCUGCAAGAUUGGGGGAGUGAUCUUGUGGAAAAGGUUUGGCAAACAACUAUGAAAAUAACUAGGUUUGUUGAG
This 222-nucleotide long non-coding RNA is filed under the name Elaeis guineensis (African oil palm). RNAcentral describes it as "long non-coding RNA (EGUI_LNC041862)". Lineage: Eukaryota; Viridiplantae; Streptophyta; Magnoliopsida; Arecales; Arecaceae. The record is from RNAcentral.